UGGGGAAUAUUGGACAAUGCGGGAAACCGUGAUCCAGCAAUGCCGCGUGAGUGAAGAAGGCCUUAGGGUUGUAAAGCUCUUUUACCCGGGAUGAUAAUGACAGUACCGGGAGAAUAAGCCCCGGCUAACUCCGUGCCAGCAGCCGCGGUAAUACGGAGGGGGCUAGCGUUGUUCGGAAUUACUGGGCGUAAAGCGCGCGUAGGCGGCUUUUCAAGUCAGAGGUGAAAUCCCGAGGCUUAACCCCGGAACUGCCUUUGAAACUGAAUGGCUAGAACCUUGGAGAUGUGAGUGGAAUUCCGAGUGUAGAGGUGAAAUUCGCAGAUAGUCGGAAGAACACCAGUGGCGAAGGCGACUCACUGGACAAGUAUUGACGCUGAGGUGCGAAAGCGUGGGGAGCAAACAGGAUUAGAUACCCGGGUAGUCC
This 424-nucleotide ribosomal RNA is filed under the name uncultured prokaryote. RNAcentral's name for it is "bacterial SSU rRNA". It matches the Rfam family "Bacterial small subunit ribosomal RNA", at positions 355 to 796 of the family's 1533-position model. The record is from RNAcentral.